Molecule: ribosomal RNA, 301 nt
Filed under: uncultured bacterium
Lineage: Bacteria
Description: partial 16S ribosomal RNA
Rfam family: Bacterial small subunit ribosomal RNA
Source: RNAcentral
CAGUAGCCACGGUAAUACGAAGGGUGCAAGCGUUAAUCGGAAUUACUGGGCGUAAAGCGCACGUAGGCGGCUUGGUAAGUUAGAGGUGAAAGCUUGGAGCUCAACUCCAGAAUUGCCUUUAAGACUGCCGAGCUAGCAGGUGAGAGAGGUAAGUGGAAUUCCGAGUGUAGAGGUGAAAUUCGUAGAUAUUCGGAAGAACACCAGUGGCGAAGGCGGCUUACUGGCUCAUACUGGACGCUGAGGUGCGAAAGCGUGGGGAGCAAACAGGAUUAGAUACCCCGGUAGUCCCUGUCUCUUAUAC